CUCCUGGGAAGUCCUCGUGUUGCACCCCUCUCUUUUUCUUCGGAUUUUUUUCGUUGGGGUUGCCGCUUACGGCGGUCCAGCACGCUCGCUCUGCAUGCACCCCUUUCAUUUUCCCAAGUCAUUUUUUUUUUCUCGUUGGGCUUAUCGUUUACGUCGGUCCAGCACGCUCGCUUUGGGCGCUAAAGCGUCGCGGCGACGUCGAAAUCCGCGGAAGCCCCUCGGGUUGCACCUCUCCGGCGUUAAGGUGCAUCGUUGCGUUCGGAUCCUUUUAUAAGAAUUAAACGCGCUUAUGCUGAUGGGUGCGAUCAUACCAACACUAAUGCACCGGA
RNAcentral lists this ribosomal RNA (329 nucleotides) under Quercus ithaburensis subsp. ithaburensis. The record is from RNAcentral. Lineage: Eukaryota; Viridiplantae; Streptophyta; Magnoliopsida; Fagales; Fagaceae.